UCUUGGACACUAGCUGGGAUCCAAGGCCCGAGCACGCAGGGCACGCCCCGACCCUAUGUUUAUAAUACUGCCCGGCACCUUCCCUCAGUCUGAGCACUCUACAUGCCGAGACCCAAGUCUCGUGCUUCUAAUUAAUUAAUUAAUUAAUUAUCUAACUAAUUAAUUAAAUUAAUAUUAAAUUAAUUAAUUUUUUAAUAUCUACUUAUAUUUAAUUAACAUAAUUUAAAUAAAAAAUUAACUUUUAGUGAUGGCAUUAGCUGUCGCUAAUGCCAUCGCUAAUAUUCAUAGUAGAAGGUAGGUUGCCAUGUAGGGAUUG
Molecule: long non-coding RNA, 316 nt
Filed under: Elaeis guineensis (African oil palm)
Lineage: Eukaryota; Viridiplantae; Streptophyta; Magnoliopsida; Arecales; Arecaceae
Description: long non-coding RNA (EGUI_LNC055731)
Source: RNAcentral